This 476-nucleotide long non-coding RNA is filed under the name Canis lupus familiaris (dog). Its description in RNAcentral is "lncRNA (ENSCAFG00000050811.1)". Lineage: Eukaryota; Metazoa; Chordata; Mammalia; Carnivora; Canidae. The record is from RNAcentral.
UUUUACAGUUAUGUCAAUUCUAAAACAGGGAAGAGAAAAUGAUUUGGCUCAUUUUGACUGAAUGGUGAAAAUGACAGAUGGAGGCGGAGAGUGUUCCACAUUCCUAAGGCUGUUGAUUCUACCAGGGGUGAAGAGGCUUUGGGAUAAAGCAUUCUCAUAAUCAACAGUAGGCUUUUGUUUGGACCAUCCUUUAUGCAUCAGUGGUGGAAGGAGGGAUGAAAACAGUGCGGAACAAUGGAAAACAACCUCUGCAUAAGUUAAAAAAAAAAAAAAAAAGCAAAGCAGUGGUACUCACAGAGAAGACUUUGAAGUAAGAGUAAUUGGGAUCUGAGCAUUGUCUUUGUACCUCACUAGUUGUACAUGGUUGACAAUUUAUAUAAGCUACCUGGUGUAUAAGUCUCUUCAGUUAAAAAAAAAAAAAAAGAAAAGAUGGGAUGGUAGUGAUCAUUAAAGACAUUGUUUUAGUAGUGUCCAUA